GAUGAACGCUGGCGGCGUGCCUAAUACAUGCAAGUCGAGCGAACAGACGAGGAGCUUGCUCCUUUGACGUUAGCGGCGGACGGGUGAGUAACACGUGGGUAACCUACCUAUAAGACUGGGAUAACUUCGGGAAACCGGAGCUAAUACCGGAUAAUAUUUUGAACCGCAUGGUUCGAUAGUGAAAGAUGGCUUUGCUGUCACUUAUAGAUGGAUCUGCGCCGGAUUAGCUAGUUGGUAAGGUAACGGCUUACCAAGGCAACGAUACGUAGCCGACCUGAGAGGGUGAUCGGCCACACUGGAACUGAGACACGGUCCAGACUCCUACGGGAGGCAGCAGUAGGGAAUCUUCCGCAAUGGGCGAAAGCCUGACGGAGCAACGCCGCGUGAGUGAUGAAGGUCUUCGGAUCGUAAAACUCUGUUAUUAGGGAAGAACAAACGUGUAAGUAACUGUGCACGUCUUGGCGGUACCUAAUCAGAAAGCCACGGCUAACUACGUG
RNAcentral lists this ribosomal RNA (497 nucleotides) under uncultured bacterium. RNAcentral describes it as "partial 16S ribosomal RNA". It matches the Rfam family "Bacterial small subunit ribosomal RNA", at positions 28 to 507 of the family's 1533-position model. The record is from RNAcentral.